RNAcentral lists this ribosomal RNA (486 nucleotides) under uncultured bacterium. Its description in RNAcentral is "partial 16S ribosomal RNA". It matches the Rfam family "Bacterial small subunit ribosomal RNA", at positions 28 to 507 of the family's 1533-position model. The record is from RNAcentral.
GGCGAACGCUGGCGGCGUGCCUUACACAUGCAAGUCGAACGGCAGCACGGGUGCUUGCACCGGGGGGCGAGUGGCGAACGGGUGAGUAAUACAUCAGAACAUGGCCUGUAGUGGGGGAUAGCCCGGCGAAAGCCGGAUUAAUACCGCAUACGAUCUACGGAUUAAAGCGGGGGGCCUUCGGGCCUCGCGCGAUAGGGUUGGCCUAUACCGGAUUAGCUAGUGGGGGGGGGAAAGGCCUACCAAGGGGACGAUCAGUAGCUGGUCUGAGAGGACGAUCACCCGCCUUGGGAGUGGAACGCGGCCCAUGGGACUGCGGGAGGGAGCAGUGGGGAAUUGUGGGCAACGGGCGGGAGUAUGACCCAGUAAGGCCGAGUGUGAGGAAGAAACCUUCGGGCUGUAAUGAAGGUUUGUGCGGAGAGAAACGCUUGGCUCUAAGACGGUCGGUGGAUGACGGUACCGGAAAAAUAAGCACCGGCUAACUACGUG